RNAcentral lists this ribosomal RNA (529 nucleotides) under Trichia varia. Its description in RNAcentral is "SSU rRNA". It matches the Rfam family "Eukaryotic small subunit ribosomal RNA", at positions 50 to 553 of the family's 1831-position model. The record is from RNAcentral. Lineage: Eukaryota; Evosea; Eumycetozoa; Trichiida; Trichiidae.
CAUGCAUGUCUUAGAAGUAUAAUAGGAGGCGAUCCAUAAAUCUGCGAACGGCUCCGUAUAUCUGUUAUCACCCACGGCCACUAAAAAGAUCUCGGAUACCCACGGUAAUUCUGAGGCUAAUACGUAUACGUAGCUUGGGCCUCCAGGACAGGGCGCCCUCCGCAAGGGGGGCGCCUGGGCUAGUCGCUUGUUGCCGGGGGGUCCCGCAAGGGGUCCGCUGUCAUGAUGGCAGGCUAGUGCACCACACUGCGGGGGCGAUAUGUCCCGUAGGGUGCGCCAAGGGAGCCAGCCCUAUUAACUAGGUGUCCGGGUAAGGCCCGGCCGCGGUGAUAACGGGUACAGAGGAUCAGGGUUCGGUCCUGGAGAGGAAGCCUGAGAGAUCGCUUCUACUUCUAAGGAAGGCAGCAGGCACGCAACGUUCCCAAUGGGGAUACCCUGAGGACGUGAGGGGAUAUAGCAAUGCCCCGCCCAUAAAGCGGGGCAAUUGCAAUGGGGGUCCACUAAACCCUCCACCGAGUAACAAUUGGAG